UGUUAAGAAAUUUAUUUAUUUCUAUUAUUAAAAAUUAGCGGCACUAAUAAAAUAAUCAACAGUUUCAUAUGGCAUGGCAUCUGUACCUCAUUCUGACUUGUAAGAAACAGUUUUUAAUAGUAAAAAUAGAUUAAAUUUUUAACA
Gossypium hirsutum (cotton) is the source of this 144-nucleotide non-coding RNA. Lineage: Eukaryota; Viridiplantae; Streptophyta; Magnoliopsida; Malvales; Malvaceae. The record is from Rfam.